GCGUCCGUAGCUCAGCUGGAUAGAGUACCUGGCUACGAACCAGGCGGUCAGAGGUUCGAAUCCUCUCGGA
This 70-nucleotide transfer RNA is filed under the name Vibrio cholerae HC-33A2. Its description in RNAcentral is "partial tRNA-Arg". It matches the Rfam family "tRNA". Rfam says of the family: Transfer RNA (tRNA) molecules are approximately 80 nucleotides in length. Their secondary structure includes four short double-helical elements and three loops (D, anti-codon, and T loops). Further hydrogen bonds mediate the characteristic L-shaped molecular structure. tRNAs have two regions of fundamental functional importance: the anti-codon, which is responsible for specific mRNA codon recognition, and the 3' end, to which the tRNAs corresponding amino acid is attached (by aminoacyl-tRNA synthetases). tRNAs cope with the degeneracy of the genetic code in two manners: having more than one tRNA (with a specific anti-codon) for a particular amino acid; and 'wobble' base-pairing, i.e. permitting non-standard base-pairing at the 3rd anti-codon position. The record is from RNAcentral. Lineage: Bacteria; Pseudomonadati; Pseudomonadota; Gammaproteobacteria; Vibrionales; Vibrionaceae.